Long non-coding RNA from Vespula vulgaris, 2138 nucleotides. RefSeq lists it as uncharacterized. The record is from RefSeq and is a predicted model, not a curated record. Lineage: Eukaryota; Metazoa; Arthropoda; Insecta; Hymenoptera; Vespidae. The transcript has 2 exons.
UAUGCACGUGGUACGUGCAAGCGCGCACGCGUAUCUGUGUACGAAUGUAUGUAUAUGUAGUUAUGCCUCUUUCUUCGGUAUAUACAUAGUUGAAGAUGUUGUCGAGAUAUUGAAUAUAUACUUAGAAUUUCUCUUUCUCUUUCUAUCUUUCUAAUCUUCUAUAUCUUUGAAAAAAGAAAUAGAAGAUUAAAAAUAAAAGAAGAAAAAAACAGAAUGUUUCAUGGACUUCCAAGGUGGCUGCCCGAGGCGUUUAACCAAUUAGCUAACUCCAUGAUACUUUACUCUCGAAACCGCUAACGAAGGAGCCAAGCGAGCAAAGAAAAUCGAACGAAGGAAGUGUAAUCUAACUGUCUUUUUCUCUCUCUAUCUCUUCUUACGUUAAGAAUCAUUUUUUCUUCCUUCCUUCUUUCCAUCCUCCUUUCUUUCUUUCUUAUUCUCUCGUUCGAUUUGAUUCGAUUCGAUUCGAUUCGCUUCAGCCAUUUUCGAUCUUGGAAAGUGUGACACAGAACGGGACCCCGUUUUUACGUUUUUUAUAUCGAUUGAUAACAAUUUUAUCGUUCUUUUUCCAUCGAUUUUUGCAAUAAAAAUUCUAUUCGAACUACCAAUUAUCUUUUUUUUUUUCAAAUAUGAUCAGUCAUUCAUCUUUAUGAUCUUACUGUUUACGUUUAAAAAAUGUUAAAGUCGAAUAAUAAAAUAGUUAUCAAAGAGAGAGAGAGAGGGAAAGAGACAGAGAUAGAGAGACAGAAAGAGAAGAAAAGAGAAAGAUAGAAAGAAAGAGAGGGAGAAGGAGAAAGAGAAUAAGCAAGAUAUAAAUAUAAAAAAAACACACUCACACAAAUGGAAUCUUUUCAAAGAGAAAAAUCGUCCGAACAAGAGCUUCUCUUUACAGUAAAAAUAACAAGUUUUCAGACGCAUAAUUUGAUGUAAUUACUCCAGGAACGAAGCAAGUAGAAAAUUGUAGGAAAGAAAAAAAAAGAGAGAGACUGACAAAGAUAGAAUAUAUAUGUCAAAGGAAACCGAAAAAGGAUUCUCUCUUCUCCCACGUUUACCUACAACCAUAUACGAAGUUCUUUUAAUAUUGAAUUUGCCUAAAGAAACGAAUUAAUUCGAAAUAUUAAUUUACAAGAAUGAUAAUAAUUGCUAAGUAUACUUCUUUUUCCAGCAAAUUGAGUUUAUUAAGAAUAUACCUCAGAUAGAGAUGUACAUAUGAAUGCAACUAUACAACUCACAUUAUUAGGAUUUGUUAAAUAAUUAGCUCAUACAGGCAAUUUGUUGUCAAUGAAACAGAGAAAGGUUAGUACAUAACUUAUAUUGAUAGAAAUUCAGAAAUAUUAAAUGCUCAAGAAAAGAAAGUAAAAAAUAGAAAAUGGAUAGAGAUAAUCAAGAAAAAUUAAUGAAAUUUAUAGAAAAAUAAAUCGAAAAGGAUCAGCAAUAGAUAUCAGUCAAAGAUGAAAAAGAAGAGACAACUAAAAAGCCAUUGAUACGUCUAGAUAGUACUAUGUAUCUUUGGUUUUAGAUAUAAAAUUGAAACCAAAACCUAAACCAGUUCCUGUAAUUGGUCUUUCUAUAUCAAGGCAAAAUGAGAUUUCCAUUGAGUGCAGCUUUUUUACAGAAGAAGUACAAAAAAUCUAAUUAUUUAUUAAAUUGGAAUUAAAAAAAAAAAAAUAGCAAUUAGAGUUUAGAGAAUCGAAGAAGGUUAGCUUAGAGAAAAAUUGGUAGUGAUUGUAAUUAUGAAAAGUCUAGAUGAUAAAUAUUUUAAAGCAAAAGAUAUUCUUAAGUUAGUGGAAGACUCUAGAUUUGUUGCCAAAGUUAAACUUACUAGACCGAAAGAAAUUGAAAGGCACUUGAUAAAAUUAGAUCAAGAAUAUAUAGAGACAGUAAUAUCUAUUAUUGGUAAAGAAAUUUUAAUACUUUAGGAAAAGUACAAAAGAGAAAAAAGAAUAGUGAAAAAGUUACACAGAAAAAUAGAUUAUCGAUGUACAGUUAGAAGAUAAUUUGUUAGAACAUUUCUAUAUGAACAAAUAUGUAAAUAUAUUGAUUAAUCAUUUACUAUGCUAAAAAUGAAAGUGCUUUUUUAUUGAAAGAAUAUUAUCAUUAUUGAUUUGUUUGGAGAUAAACAAAUAUACUAAUUCUAAUGA